CUGAGCGGGAGGGACUUUCAAUAGAGGAUAUCCGUUUUUGUUGCAAGUUUAGGAUAUUGCCCCGUCAAAUAUAUCGUUAAAACCCCAAAAAUAUUUUCCUUUCUUUUUUUGUUAUUCAUUUUCAUGUUAUAAUUAUUCUUGCUCCAAAUACUGUUCACUGGCGUACUUGGCUCAUCGAAGUAUGAGACGGGAAAUUGCGUUGCAGUGGACCGGGAUAACGCUACAAUUCAGCAUCCUCUCUCAGCCUACUAACUUGCUAUCGUGGAAGACUUUAGCUUGUCAGGUACUAGCGACCCCAGUGACCACAUAACGAGUAAGCUUCGUUGCCGUGGCUCUCUGGAUACUGGAUAGCUCGACUGGCAGCCAGUCGGCAGAGGAGUCGACCAGUCAACGUACGGUGUGAUGCAGACGUCUGGACGGAGGAGCAGUCAAGUUGGAAUGGGUUCCUAGAGGUUUUGGCGCCUCCAGUGUCAACAGUUUGUCACAACUGUUUGAGGUUUACUACAUAAUCACCAUCUACUCUUUUAAUUCCUACUUAAUGGGGCUCGCAAUUCUUCUAAAAGCCCUAUAAAUCAUAGGGCCCGCCCUUCCCAUUCAUUCAAUGAUCUUCAGUUUCAACUGACAUCAAUCCUCGGACGCUGUCAACAAAUAAUAAUAUAUAAACAUUAUUGGCCUGUAUGCCAAUACACACAACAAAGUAAUCAAUUAUGUGAAUAUUGUUGCCUGGUCAUUUGAUUAACCACCCUCUGUUUUAUCAGUGUUUGAAGCUAUAUAAUAUUUUCUUAUGUGCAAUGUGGAAUAUACGUUCAAAGCUAUUAUAUUAAUGCAUCAUUGUGACUGGCAGGCCAGCAGAAUUCAUUAUUACUGCAAAAAAAAAUAUUUGAAGCAGCAUCUGUCUGUCUGUUCCUGGCAAAUUAGGCCUUUUUAAAACUGCAGCAUGUCUUCUUCUCAACUGUUAGGUCUAAGAUUCAGAAAUGACUUCUAUUAUUUAUUUAUUCUUUGAGGGUGCACUUAUCUGUCCAUAACAGUCAGACUGGUUGAAUAAUGCAGAAGGGUUCCACAUUGCUCCUGCAGAAAGCCAUCUAUUCCUGACACAGUUGUAUUCCUGUCUUCGAUCCCCCAUUUUCUUGAUGGAAAUUAAACACUUUUUAAAUCAUGGUUUUGUUACCCGGGUCAUGGGGUUUAAGACACACGCAGCCAUUUGGUGUGAGUUAUAAAUUAGUUUUUCCAUCACAAUGAUUUGCAUGUUUUUUGCAAUUACUGAUAAAUCUUAAACCAUCCAUAAUCUAUUUCACGUAAAAUAAAAGAUAUAAUAAGCGUUGGUAAAAAUUAUAUAGAAAGUGUGUAGUGAGUGCAAUAGCAUAUGGAAUAAUUUUUUCUACGACAAAUGGUGAUGCAUCACAAAAAAAUGAUUGCUUUAUUACGGGUUAAAUUGUCCCUAAACAUAAUUCAGCAGAUUGAAAUAGUAAAUAACUCAACUUUGGUUUUCCAUUGCUCAAUGGAUCUUCCAAAACAUAACUAGCACAUUAUCCAACAUUGUACAACAACACACAAAUAGGCCUUAAAGCGUCAGCAAUGGCUGACGCUUACAGCCCGACCGCCUCAUGGAAAACCCUGUUCUUUAGGAGCUGAAAAUAGAAGUUUGGGAUCCUCCUGGGGGUUUCAUUCCUGCAGCAUUCGCACGAAUGGAUACAGUAGAUAAGAUACGCAGCAGGAAGUGACAUUACGUCAUUAUUCUCUUACGAAUGUAUGUACAGUACAGAGCAAAGGGGACUAACAUAAUGCGGAAAGGACCCCUUGGUCCCAAAUACAGUAGGCUUGACAUAUGUAGACUCUGUAUGGCUGCAUUGCUUCAGUACCUGAGUUGUGUUUUAAGACCAACCAUAAAGACAAGGGCGAUGUCAAAAUAUUGUAACUACAUUUCCAAUAAAUCAACCAAAAGGGACCUGGGCUUUCUCUUCCACUCACAAGCAUUUUAAAUGACAUUUAGACGCUUAACCUUUGAUGCCAUGUUGUUUCAUUUAGUCAGCGUCCUCCCUCUUCCUCAGAAUAUCUUAAUCGGCGUGGAAAAUAAGGCACCUAUUAUACACAUUGGUCUAUUUCUAUGGGUUCGCUAUCCUUGU
Molecule: long non-coding RNA, 2123 nt
Organism: Gadus macrocephalus (Pacific cod)
Lineage: Eukaryota; Metazoa; Chordata; Actinopteri; Gadiformes; Gadidae
Exons: 2
Source: RefSeq, a predicted model, not a curated record